GGUAUUUUUUUUCUUAAUAAUUAUUAAAAUAGAAGAUUUAUUCAUUUAUAUGACAUUUUUUCAGGAGUGAUUAGAGUAAGAUUUUUUGAAACCCACAUAGGACACCCUGACGAAUUAAGAAGCAAAAGGCUAACAAAAUCGGAACAGGAGAUAAUUGUGGAUAAAUUAGCAGCAGGAGUUUCAAACAAGAGAAUUAUUCAGGAGGCCAGAAGCGUAGACGGCAAUAAACUACAAAGGAAAAAUUGUAUAACAAGAGAAUAUUUAGAGUACCUAAUACGAAAAUUUAAUAUUGACAAGAAAAGGGACAGUGAUGAUAUGAUAGUCACAGUGUUAAAAAUUCAGGAAUGGAACCGUGAUGGAAAAAAUCAUGGAUUUUUAUUUAAACAGAUAGGAGAAACUUAUCCAGGAUUAGAAGAAGAUGAUUUUGCAGUUGGAUAUAUGAAUGCUAUUAUGGAAAAAAAAUUAAAAGAAUUUCCAAAAAUAAUCUGUAUAGAUGGAACCCAUGGAAGAAAUAGGAGAAACUGGGACUUCACAAUUGUGUUAAUAAGAGAUGAACAAAAUAUGGGUUUUCCAGUGGCAUUCUUACUAAGUAACAGAUUAGAUCAAUUAAUUCAAGAGGUUUUUUUUAGGGCACUUAAAACUAGAUUAGGGAAAGCAGUUCAAGCUGAAUAUAUAAUGAGCGAUGACGAUCCAAAAUAUUACAAUGCAUGGAUAAUGGCUAUGGAUGCAGAACAUAAACCAAGAAGAUUACUUUGUACGUGGCAUAUACUGAAAAAUUGGAACAUACAAGGAAGGUCUAAAAUCAAGAAGUUGGAAAAUAGACAGAUAAUGAAACAUGAAAUGAGGAAAAUUUUAAAGGAGACUGAUCCACAAAAAUUUAUACAGCUGAAAGAGAACUAUUUUAGGCAAUUAGAAGAAGAGGAGGAAACUAAUUUUCAGAAUUACCUG
Molecule: long non-coding RNA, 948 nt
Organism: Anthonomus grandis grandis
Lineage: Eukaryota; Metazoa; Arthropoda; Insecta; Coleoptera; Curculionidae
Exons: 3
Source: RefSeq, a predicted model, not a curated record